UUUUUUUUUUUUUUUUUUGGUGAGUGGAAGGCCUUGGAGGCUUUUUACUUGCACCCCCAGCUCCCGUGAUUUUGACAUUUGAAUGCUCGAUCGAUCGGGUUGUUUCUCGGUUACAAUCUCAUCUUCCGUGCACAUCACACAAGAAAUAUUGUUCUUUUUUAUUUUUUAAAGAUUUAAAAACUUUUGAAUACUAGAUCGAGGGUUUAAUUUCAGUACACCUCUUUCUCCUGUCAUUUUGACUUUUGAAUACUAGGCUUGGGGUUCAACCCACCGCCUAAUGCAUCACACAAAAAACAUAGCGUUUCUUAUUUUUUGAAAAUCCAAAGGGGUUUUGAAUACUAAAUCGGGGGUUCAAUCCCAUCCAUCCAGUGCAUCACAAAAAAAAAAAAUAGUGCUUCUUAUUUUUAAAAAAAAUUCAAAGAGUGGAAUAGUGCAUUUAUUUAAUUUAUUUAAUCUGAUGAUUUACUUCCCAACUUUCAUUGAAACCCCUUAGGGUGCGUUUGGUAUCCCAUAGAAUUGGGGUUUAGAAUUGGAAUUGGAACCCCAAUUCUAAUUCUUGUGUUUGGACGCUGCAUUUUCCAUAGAAUUAGCAUUGAAUUCUAAUUCCAAGAGAUUCCAAUUCCACAAUCUCAAUUCUUUGUCGGACCAAAAGAAUUCUAAUUUCAAUUCCACAGCUGAAUUCCUAAUCGGGUCGACACGCGGGUCUUGUACGAGUAAAAACUCAAAAAUGGGUCAACUAUAAAACGGAUGGAAAAAACGCAAACCUCUCUCCUUCCCUUUCAACAUAAGUAGAAUAAGAGCCGAAGAGUGUUGAUGACCUGGAUGGUUUUCGUCGUCCUCUCACGUGCGCUGUGCGUGGUUCGUGACGACGUCGUUUUGUGUUGUUUGCUAAUGUGUUCCUCGCGCAUGACUCUUCGAACUCUAACCCUAGGUCAGACCAAAACGCCGCCUCUCUUCCCUUCCCUUUCUUCUCCCCGUCUCUCUCCUCAACCUUUCUCUCUGAUCAUUCUUCUUCCUCUCUCUCUCUCACUCGAUCUUGACCUCUUUAUUUUCUCCUCUGACUUUCUCCACCACACCGUCUCCCUCUCCUCUAAGAGCUCCUGCUACCCCCAACAUCACGAGUCCCCCUUCUCCCACCUCCCUGUGAUUUCCUUUCCACCUCCCUGCGCUUCAAGUUCAUCGUCGUUGGAUCCUCUUCCAGCCUUUGGGAGGACUUUCGAUCCCACCACAAGAUCCUCGCAGUCAUCAGCAUUUUUUACUACUCUUCCUCCCUCAAUCACCAUUCUCUCGCCCUUCAAUUUUAUUUUUAAAUUUUUUGCUCCUCAUUUUUUUUGCAGCCUGAAUAUCAAUAUUGGGCAGUAUUUCGGUGUUUUUGGCUUUUCGAUUAUUUUCCUGUUUCCCAGUCUACAUGCGAAGAUGCCUUUGCUUUUUUGUGAUGUUUUGCUUUGGUUUUCCAAAACAUCUUGAAAUUCUAUGGCUUAAGAGAUGGUCAUUUAGUGGUUUUUUUUUUGUAUCUUGGCUGAUUGUAUUCUUUUUAUUUUUCAGGGGAUUUUUCUUCAACAGCUUCAACAACAGGGUGCAACACCAUCUGGGACGAACAACCCUAUGAAGAGAAUUUUGAGAAAGAGGUGGGUCAAGAUGAUUGCCCGUGAUUUCAUUCAUUUGUUAUUUUUUAGAGGUUUUUUUUGGUCAUGGUGAAUUGGAUGUAAGUUUUUUGAUGGUUUUGAUGAAUUGGAGUCCUAUGUGUUUAAUUGCUUUUAGAUCCGUGACUUUUCUUUUCUUUUGGUUGUAAUAGUCGAAUUCGGAUCUUUGUUGUGCUUUUGCUCUAUUGUAUAUUUGUGUAUGGAUUCGUGUGCACUGUCAGUUUUUCGUCUAUUGCCGUGUAUGCUAUUUAGGAGAUAGGUGGACUAGCAUGGAAAACUACUAUGUUGGAAUGCGAAAUUGAUUUUUGACAUCAUUAUGUUUGCUGAUUUGAAGUGAUUUUGAGCUAUUCUUGUAAGGGAAGAUGUAAAGAAGUUUUUUUUUUUCUUUUUCUUUUCCCCAUGAUGAAUUUGUAGGUGUGGGCACUGUAAGAAGCUUGCUCCAGAGUACGAGAAGGUUGGUGCAAGUUUCACGAAAGUUAAAUCUGUUUUGAUUGGAAAGGUUAGCCUUUCAGCUCUUUUAUGAUCCAUUGACCCUUUCAGAUAUGGUAGGAAAAGUCUCAUUUUUACUCUAGGUUCGUAGUGUUGCUAUAUCAAUUAGGACAUUUGCCAUGGGUUAUUAAGUAGUUUAGCUAAAGUUGGUACAAUCUAAAGCUUGAAACUUCUGGGAAUGUUACUAUUGCAUUGCUGUAGAGAACUCAUAUAUGAUACAAAAUUCAUGGUUUUUGCCAUGCUAUCGUGGUGGGCUUGUUUUAAUGAAUUUUGGAGUUGUACAUUAUUAAGGGUUUUGUCAUUGUUUGAAUCAUCUAUCUUUGUGCUUUUUCUGAUCACCUUAGGAGUUGCCAUCCUUGGAAGUUACAUUAAUAUAGAGCAAGAUGCUACGGCAAAACUCUCUCAGACAAACUAUACGGUUAUUUCGUGUUGAAAAAGUGCUUACAUUUUUCUUUUUAUCCUUGCAAACUGGAUAUGCUCUAUUUGAUUUCCAUCACUGAAAUCUUGAGAAAGUGGAACCUGAGGUCCAUUGCUAUCUGGUUGCUUGUUGGCAUCAACAUCAGUUUAACUGUCUUAGCUAUUGUGAAUCUUCUAUUUUGCAUCUGAUUUAAUGUCAAUACUUAAAAGAUUAAUCAACGAUUUAGCUGUGAAUUAUAGCAAAAUAAGUUUAAUUUUUGAACUUAUUAUCAAAUUAUAUUUGUUGUAGGUGAACUGCAAUGAGCAUAAGAGCGUUGCAGCAAAUAUAGUGUUUGUGGUUACCCUAUAUCCAAUGGUUUCCAAAAGGUUCUUUGGAGCCCAAAAAGUUAGUUUAUGUGAAAUGCUGGAGUUUUCAAAAGGUCUUUGUUUUUCCGUACUUGCUCUGUUGAAAUGAUAUCUAUCCUGGUGUUGACUCUAUGUAAAUAUAACUUACAUGCCUUCAGUUCAUACAAUUGUAUUCCUCAUGAAUCUAUUUUUAUUCUCAGGUAUGAAGGUGCACGACCUGCAGAAGCCCUUACUGAGUUUGUGAAUAGUGAAGGAGGUAAUGUUAUUGUCUAGCUGGCUUGUGUUUUGUGGUCCAUAAGUGUAAUCCAUGCUAACAAGUUUGGUAGAUUUAUGUUAAACUAUAUUUUGGUAGAAGUGUUGAAUAAUCCACAAGGUUGUUAAAAUCCAAUCCAUAUUACUUACGAAGAUUAGAAAUUUACUUCACCUUAAGAUAUCACCAAACUCUUUUGGAUUCAUUGUGCUGAAAUAUCACCUUAAAUACUUGAUACUGGAACUUUGGCGUUAAUUCUUCUUGAUCUUGAGCAUACAUGAACUGUACACUUCCAUCCAUUGUUGAAGACCUGACCUUACUUGGUUUCAUUUCCAAUGAGGUUUCUUCUCUAUCAUUUUUCAUUAUGAAAAAUUUUUAUUUUCCAAAGAUUAGAUUUAAUCUUAAUGAAUUUGUUGCUUUUUCCUAUUUGAAUCAGAUGAGAUGAGCUUUGCAAGACAUUUCUUAUCAUUUUGCCAUUGCAAUAGUUUCUGGAAAAUGCAGAGCCAAGGUACAUUCAUGUAAAAAAAAAAAUGAAUAUUCUGGAAUAUUUUCAAAGUGAGACUCAUUUUGGCUAAUGAAUACUUAUUAGCAGGUUUACAAUGUUGUUAAGUUACCAGAACUUUAUUGUGCCAGCAAUACACUAUAUAAUCUGCCUACCCUACCGCCAAAGGUGUUUCUAUUACAUUUUAGGCAAGAAUAAUGAGUGUUCUGGUAAAUGGUGAGGUUGAGUAUGAUAAAAUUCAGCCCUUGAGAAAAAAUGCCACAUUCACAUUUUUACAUGAAAAAUGCAAGUUUUUCGUUUUGUUAGUUGUGUACAUUGAUGGCCUAUAUCUGGUACCAUGAAAUAAUUGCUUAGAAUAAUGGUUUAUGCAAAUUGAUGGGGUCUGAUGCCAAGUUUAAGAGGGAUAGAGUAGUGUAAUGCAAGUGUUUGUUCCUCAAGUGAGCUGACUUCAAUUAAUGAGCUAUUUUUAUUUACUUGAUGAUAAUGUAAACAGUGAGUUACAUAAUGCUAUAGGGGUUGGUUAAAGGGGAAAGGAAUUAUAUUAUAAUGAGGUGUAUGUUUGGUAACGGUAGAUUUUUGGAUAUGAAAAUGAUAAUAAUGCAUAAUGUUUUUGCCCGAAAAGGUGAUAGUAGUUAUUAUUUUUUUGUUAAGUUUGGUGCAUGAUGACAUGUAGUCCUUAGUUUGCUUUAAUUAUGGUUGAUUCCAUUCAAAUUUGAGAUUGUUUGUAUGUAAUUUGCAGGUUGAUGGCGCUAAAAUUUUCUUGUGGAUUUGAACAAGGUGCUUAAAUGAGCUGACUUUUCUUCAAAUUGGGAAUGGUUUAUGGAUGGUAGUUUUCAUAGUCAUGUCAUAAUGGAAUCCAAUAAUAAUGCUUAGUUCAUAAUUACCAAAAUAUGUAGUUUGUACGAGUGUAGAUUCUAUUUUUUCACAAUCUAUUUUUGGUUCAUAUAUUGUUUCCACUUACUUUUUUUAAGCUGUACAUGAAUACACAUUUUUUCCAUAUAUCAUUGUCGGCUAUUGAGCGAAUUGUUGAAUGUUAUCGGGAAGUUGGGUUCCAUGAAAUUGCCAAAUUGUGCCAUGCAGAAAUUGAAUUGAAGUUGAUUUUGGCAUAUUCAUAUUUUGCUUUCAUGUACAUUUCCAAAUUUGUAAUCUGCUACCGCCUACAAUUCUGGAAUUACGUCCGAAGAUGAUAUUUUGGAUUAUGUUAUGACGUUGAUUAUAACAUUCUAUUGAAUUCAAGACCAAGUUUCUGCCUGCCAAGUCACCUGCACAAGCAGGUUGAUUAUAACAUUCUAUUGAAUUCAAGACCAAGUUUCUGCCUGCCAAGUCACCUGCACAAGCAGGCCGUUGGCUCUGAGUUCUGCAAAAAUCUUAAAACCUCUUAUAGAGAGCAUACUCUCUCUCUCUCUCCAAUGACCAACUUAAGAUUUGAAUAUUCCUUUCGAUGAAUGCUUUAUCCUUGUAAGUUCUAUGUGUUGAACAUAGAUGAUCUAGAUUAUUCCUCCUCCCAAAAUUGCUGUAUUCUUGGUGUAAUAAAAAAAUUUAAUUCUAAUUCAAUUGAAAUGUAUUCUUUUGAAUUUAUAUAUAAUAGAAGUAACAAAGAGACACCCAUCAUCUCUCACACACAGAUAUGCAAGGCAAAAAUCACACUGUAGUAUUCUAACCAAAAAAAUAUUAAACCGAUUUUCACUGUUAUUGGAUUCCGCACUUCAGUUUUAGCAUUAGUUCAGCUUAUGAAACUGUUUCCUUGCAAAUGCCGUUUCUCCCUCUCAUUAACAGCUUCUUUAGCAAUCCUCCACUUCCCCUUUUUUCAACGGUACUUUUUUUCUCUUAUAACGUACGACUUAUGACGUACGAUAUAUGCAAAUCAUCAUGUUCUAUGCUUCUACAUGUCAUGAAAAAUGCUGAACUUUAUUCUCAUGCUAAACGAGCAAUAGAGUAAAGAUAAGACAAGAAUUCACUUUCAAGCUAAAAAAAUAUUAGCUUUAAAUCUCAGCAGUACCUUUAUCUAAAUCUAAAUAAAUAUUCAUACUAUUUUCGUGAAGCGAUUGUACCUUUUAUUUAUUCAUGUAUAUUUAUGUUUAACUGCGUACAUAAAAUUAUUAACCGAUAAAUAUUUUUGUUCUAUGACUCCAUAUAUUUAAGAGGGCAUGUUUUAUAUUUAUCCCAACGCGCAACGCGCGUUUUAUGCCUCCUAGUCAAUUAUCGAUCGCCAUAUCAGAAGCUCUGAUGGAGCAUUCUUCGUCGCCGCCGCCUCCUCCUCCAAUUACGUUGAUAGAGGCACUUUUGCUGCCGCCUCCACCCUUCCAUGCCCCACUCCCUGCCUUUUGCACAACUCAAGUUGAAAUUAUGGGGUUCCAAUUAGUUUCUAUCAGUUUUUUCCUUCCCCUCUUUGUGUUGACUUGUGCCUCCACCUCCGCUGGCCUGGUGUUGCCCACAUUUGUCGUCACCGUGCAUUCUCUCAUGCUUCCUCUCCUGGAUCGCUAAUUACUCUCUCCCUACUAUUCCAGAUUUUCCAGAUAGAUUUAGAGCUUACGAAGGUAACAUCAAAAUUUAAUUUUUGCCAAUUAAACAUUUUUUUAGGGGUUUUUUUUUUAUAAUUUGUGGUAUUGAUUCUAUACGGUUAUUAUUAUUAUAUUAAGCUUAUAAUUUACACUGUUAUGUGAACAAAAGAACAAGUUGGUCUUUGGUUUCGAGUGUCUUGUUUGUUUGAGUCUUAGUUAAUUAGUCAAAGUUUGGCUUGGAACCUUUUCGGAAUAAUGCCUGAAUGUUUAGGAUUUGAGGGUACUUAUGUACAAGUUAGCUGCUAAAAUUUGUCAGUUUACCUUGCAAUUAAAUAAAUGUAGAAAGUAGAAGGUGAUGCUGAUGUUGUGGAAAAAAUCUAUUAUAGUGAAUUAUAUCUCAUCCAAUAUAUUUGUGUGUUUACGUCUUUCAAUUUGAUUAUUGUUGCUCUAAACAUUUCUUUCUUUCUCUUACAUGUGGAGUUGCAGAAGAAAUUUAUAUUGAUGUUUGUACUUCUAAGAAUCAAGAUUGCUUCUUUGAACUGUAAAAUGAUCUGCUUACCGCAUUUCUUUGGGUACUUGGGCAUUUUUUUAUUGAUUAUGAGGCUUUUGGAAAAACCACCUUUGGUUGGAAGUAAACUAAUAAUACUACUAGUACUAUCAUUUUAUUCAUCUCUUGAUUUUCUAUCUCUUGCUUUUAGCUUGAUUCCCAAUACUAACUAGUAGUACUCCUUAAUUGCCUCUGCUUCUGGCGUUUAAACAUCUCCUAUCCCAGUAAUUCCUCAGCCUAUCAUGUUUAAUUACAGGUUAGUGCCAUCUUCUCGCUAUUGAUGGGACCAUUAGCUUACACCAAUAUAUAACUAAGUCCGGACUCCACAGAUGGACAAGAAUUUAAAAGAAUAGUUUCACUAGCCAUGCUUGUCAAGAUAGAUUUCUGGAGAAUGCUAACAUAGAUCUAAAUGACUAACUUGUAAUACAUUUAUGAUGCAGUUUAGAGUUAUGCCAUGAUCCUCACACAUGCACAGACAGGGAGAGGGGAAGUUGGCAGCCCUGUAAUUCCAAUGGUGUGAAUAUUGAAUGCUGACCAUAUUUGCCAAGACAGAAACUGUUGUCUUGGAGACGAGCUUGGCCGUAGGUUUGUACACCACAUUGCGUUUCCCGUCUGCUUUUAAGUCCUUAGCAGAGGGAGAAGAAACAGCAGCCCCGCAUAGAUUAGCCUGGAAUCAGAAGACAUGUAACAGUAAGAUAUCUACGUCUUGGGGGGAAAAUGCAGGAGAAAUUUCUAAUUUUGUGAUGAAUUUUAAAAAAAUUCUACAAAAGGGGUGAUUUUGAUUGGGUAUUCCGUAGGGGGGGUCUUCGCAUUUUGCGAAUGCGAGCUCUGCUUAUUGAGCUCGCAUUCCACAAAUGCGAGCUCAAUAGAGCUCACCCUGAUAUUUUUUUUUUUUUUUGGGCUCUCAUUAAAUUUUUUCCAGAAAAUAGUAAGAGCUAAAUAAAAUUUUUCAAAUAGCUCGCAUUUGAUAAAUUUGACCUCCAAAAAUUGUAUUUAUCAAAUAAAUUUUUGGGCCCUCAAUAAAUUUUUUUUAUCAAAUUCUAAUUUUCCUUUGUUAUUAAUGAAUCGUAUUUAUUUGUUGACACCGACGAAUUUUAGUUAUAAGAAUCUAAUAGUUAAUAGUCAUUAAUAUCUGUUACAAUUUCAACUGUAAUUUUAGAAAUUUCAUAACGCAAUGUUAUUUAAAAAAAUUAUAUAAGUUAUUUUUAUGAAGUGCAUGUUAUUUAUUUUCUUUGUUUUGCUGUUCGACAAUUCCGAAAUCUUUGUUUUGAUGUUCGGCAGCUAUGUUUCGAUAUUGCGUUCUGCUUCUCCCACUCACUUUUGUCUUUUUUUUUUCGAAAUGGGUCUUGGCGGUAUGUAGUGCGAGGAUGCGAGCUCAAUGAGCUCGCAUUUCCAGAAUGCGAAGACCCUCUUUUGUGGAAACAAACCCAAGAACCGCCCUCGUUGUAGAAUUCUUUUUUUUUUUCCAUCAUAAACUGAGAAUUCACCCAAAAUGCAGUGAAUGGGAGGAGAAUUACACUCGAUUGCUCGAAAUGUGAUUGAAAGGACAUUUGGUUUGUCCAAGAAGCGAUGGGCCAUUUUGAGAGAUGCAUCUUUUUUUGAUAUCAAUACUCAUGUCAUGAUAAUUAAUGAAUGCGCCAUCUUCAUAAUCUUAUUCGAGUAGAAGAACCAAAUGAUCCUUACUUGGAUGAGGUUGAUGCUGAGAUGUGAAGAGUACAACAUGAGAUUGAUGAUGAAGAAGAAGAUGAAAUGGAAAAUGAAGAUGAGGAAGAUGGAAUGGAAGAUAAUGGUCCAAAUAAUGAUGGUGGCAUAAGAAUGUCCAUUCUGCUUGUAAACAUGUGAUUGUUGACUUUUACAUUUUUGCUGGACUGAUCGUGACCUAUACUUUCUUUAGGUGGAUUGUGAGGUAAUUUGCUUUUAUCAUUUGAAUCUUGCUUUCAGGUCUCUGAGUUUGCAACUUAAAGGUGCAAAACAUGUUGUAUAUGGCUUGAUGUUUGUUUGGUGUCGAUAGACAACUAGACCCUUAAAUAUAUCAACAAGUUGUGAGAAUAUAAGAUCUUCAGCAUUCUUUGCAAAAGGUCGAAAACGCUCUCUUGCAGGGACUGGAGCAACUUCACUUGUGCAACCAUGAACCAUGUGAUUAAUAUCAGAUUAUUUCACUGGAUUUACAUAUGGGUUUAUGCAUGCAUAAUAUCUGUUUAUGCAUGUGGAUUUGUGUACGUUUGGCAACACACCUUUCUGCUGAUAAUUUUCUCUUUAAAAAUCAACGAAUUGCACAAGAUGAGAUAUUUAUGGUUUGUUGGUAACAAGUGAUGCAGGUUUUUGUUCAAAACUGUUCUUGAAGUUUUGGGUCAAACGUGUCUGCAUGAAAAGGCAUGUUAAUGUGGUCUUGUUAAGAGAUACUUUAGACUUCAUACUUUCUUGUUUUCAUUUUGUGAAUAGUUACUUUCUUGUUCAUCCUUAUGCAGAAGCUUUACUUACAUACACAAUGAACUUUAUCUUGUUGUCUUACAUACCCCAAUUAGUUUUUUAUCUAAUAUAAUUUAAUUAAGAAUAAAGGAAACAAGAGUAAUACUAUAUUUUUUUUCUAGAAAAGGAACUAAUUGGUUUUUUUCUUUAAAGCUUUAAUAACAAUUGGUUAAAUGCAAGAAAAAUAAAUUAUUAAAGGCACUAAUUGAUUUUUUCCUUGAAACUUUAGUAACAAUUAGCUAAAUGUUUAAAAAAUUAUUCCAUAUGAAAAAGAAAAAAAUAAAAUUUUUAUGUAAGCAAAUGUUAGAUGGAAACAAUUCUAAUUCUUAAUGAAUUCUUCUCGCAUCCAAAUUAACAAAGAAUUUGGAAUUCCAAAUGAAUUCUGUAUCAAUUCUAUGCAUUUCCCAAACAAAAGAAUUCCAACGUUUUGGAAUUCCAAUUCCUAGAAUUCUAAUUCUACAAAAUUGGAAUUGAAAUUCUAUAGAAUUAGAUGUGAGCUCACUGAAAAUGCGAGCUCACUGAGCUCGCAUUCUGAAAAUACGAGCUCACUGAGCUCGCAUUCCCGGAAUGCGCUCACAUUGAGCUCGCAUCCUCGCACUACAUACCGCCAAGACCCAUUUCGAAAAAAAAAAAAGACAAAAGUGAGUGGGAGAAGCAGAACGCAAUAUCGAAACAUAGCUGCCGAACAUCAAAACAAAGAUUUCGGAAUUGUCGAACAGCAAAACAAAGAAAAUAAAUAACAUGCACUUCAUAAAAAUAACUUAUAUAAUUUUUUUAAAUAACAUUGCGUUGUGAAAUUUCUAAAAUUACAGUUGAAAUUGUAACAGAUAUUAAUGACUAUUAACUAUUAGAUUCUUAUAACUAAAAUUCGUCGGUGUCAACAAAUAAAUACGAUUCAUUAAUAACAAAGGAAAAUUAGAAUUUGAUAAAAAAAUUUAUUGAGGGCCCAAAAAUUUAUUUGAUAAAUACAAUUUUUGGAGGUCAAAUUUAUCAAAUGCGAGCUAUUUGAAAAAUUUUAUUUAGCUCUUACUAUUUUCUGGAAAAAAUUUAAUGAGAGCCCAAAAAAAAAAAAAAAUAUCAGGGUGAGCUCUAUUGAGCUCGCAUUUGUGGAAUGCGAGCUCAAUAAGCAGAGCUCGCAUUCGCAAAAUGCGAAGACCCCCCCUACGGAAUACCCAAUCAAAAUCACCCCUUUUGUAGAAUUUUUUUAAAAUUCAUCACAAAAUUAGAAAUUUCUCCUGCAUUUUCCCCCCAAGACGUAGAUAUCUUACUGUUACAUGUCUUCUGAUUCCAGGCUAAUCUAUGCGGGGCUGCUGUUUCUUCUCCCUCUGCUAAGGACUUAAAAGCAGACGGGAAACGCAAUGUGGUGUACAAACCUACGGCCAAGCUCGUCUCCAAGACAACAGUUUCUGUCUUGGCAAAUAUGGUCAGCAUUCAAUAUUCACACCAUUGGAAUUACAGGGCUGCCAACUUCCCCUCUCCCUGUCUGUGCAUGUGUGAGGAUCAUGGCAUAACUCUAAACUGCAUCAUAAAUGUAUUACAAGUUAGUCAUUUAGAUCUAUGUUAGCAUUCUCCAGAAAUCUAUCUUGACAAGCAUGGCUAGUGAAACUAUUCUUUUAAAUUCUUGUCCAUCUGUGGAGUCCGGACUUAGUUAUAUAUUGGUGUAAGCUAAUGGUCCCAUCAAUAGCGAGAAGAUGGCACUAACCUGUAAUUAAACAUGAUAGGCUGAGGAAUUACUGGGAUAGGAGAUGUUUAAACGCCAGAAGCAGAGGCAAUUAAGGAGUACUACUAGUUAGUAUUGGGAAUCAAGCUAAAAGCAAGAGAUAGAAAAUCAAGAGAUGAAUAAAAUGAUAGUACUAGUAGUAUUAUUAGUUUACUUCCAACCAAAGGUGGUUUUUCCAAAAGCCUCAUAAUCAAUAAAAAAAUGCCCAAGUACCCAAAGAAAUGCGGUAAGCAGAUCAUUUUACAGUUCAAAGAAGCAAUCUUGAUUCUUAGAAGUACAAACAUCAAUAUAAAUUUCUUCUGCAACUCCACAUGUAAGAGAAAGAAAGAAAUGUUUAGAGCAACAAUAAUCAAAUUGAAAGACGUAAACACACAAAUAUAUUGGAUGAGAUAUAAUUCACUAUAAUAGAUUUUUUCCACAACAUCAGCAUCACCUUCUACUUUCUACAUUUAUUUAAUUGCAAGGUAAACUGACAAAUUUUAGCAGCUAACUUGUACAUAAGUACCCUCAAAUCCUAAACAUUCAGGCAUUAUUCCGAAAAGGUUCCAAGCCAAACUUUGACUAAUUAACUAAGACUCAAACAAACAAGACACUCGAAACCAAAGACCAACUUGUUCUUUUGUUCACAUAACAGUGUAAAUUAUAAGCUUAAUAUAAUAAUAAUAACCGUAUAGAAUCAAUACCACAAAUUAUAAAAAAAAAACCCCUAAAAAAAUGUUUAAUUGGCAAAAAUUAAAUUUUGAUGUUACCUUCGUAAGCUCUAAAUCUAUCUGGAAAAUCUGGAAUAGUAGGGAGAGAGUAAUUAGCGAUCCAGGAGAGGAAGCAUGAGAGAAUGCACGGUGACGACAAAUGUAGGCAACACCAGGCCAGCGGAGGUGGAGGCACAAGUCAACACAAAGAGGGGAAGGAAAAAACUGAUAGAAACUAAUUGGAACCCCAUAAUUUCAACUUGAGUUGUGCAAAAGGCAGGGAGUGGGGCAUGGAAGGGUGGAGGCGGCAGCAAAAGUGCCUCUAUCAACGUAAUUGGAGGAGGAGGCGGCGGCGACGAAGAAUGCUCCAUCAGAGCUUCUGAUAUGGCGAUCGAUAAUUGAAAGGGAAGGAGAGAGGUUUGCGUUUUUUCCAUCCGUUUUAUAGUUGACCCAUUUUUGAGUUUUUACUCGUACAAGACCCGCGUGUCGACCCGAUUAGGAAUUCAGCUAUGGAAUUGGAAUUAUAAUUCUUUUGGUCCGGCAAAGAAUUGAGAUUGUGGAAUUGGAACCUCUUGGAAUUAGAAUUCAAUGCUAAUUCUAUGGAAAAUGCAGCGUCCAAAUACAAGAAUUAGAAUUGGGGUUCCAAUUCCAAUUCUAAACCCCAAUUCUAUGGGAUACCAAACGCACCCUUAGAGUCUUUCGUAGAAUCUAUAUCUAUAUAAAUUUGAGAAGGAAUUUUUAGCAACAAACCUUCACAAACCUUCUCACUCUCAACUCUAUUUUUCUAGCAUUUUACAUUUAAUUUAUUUCGUAAAAAAAUAUCAUGGGCACGUUACACCCCUCACGUUUCCCUCAAACAAGAAGUUAACUCCAACUAACACUCCCACGUUUCCCUCAAACAAGAAGUUAACUCCCACCAAUACUCCUUACACACCUUACUCCAACUAACACUCCUCACCCACUUUCCCACUACAAUAAACAUUUUCACAGAUCAUCUCCAUGAAGGCAAGGUAUACUGGUUUCAAAAUAUAUAUGUAAUUCCGGCAAAUCUUAAAUAUCGGCUUGCAUCACAUCAGUACCAAUUAUCAUUUGGAAACGAUAUGAAGAUAGUGAAUAUUUUAGAUGAUUGUGGAACCAUACCCCGUUUCAAGUUUAAUCUGGUCAAACUAUGAGAUACAGAACAACACAUGGACAAUGAUUUACAAUUGAUAGGUAUUUCAUUCUUCAUUAACCAUACUUCUAUUUAAGUUGCAUAUUUGAACUGGUAUUACUUAUACUUUUUGAUCUUUUGCAAAUGUAAUUGGUUUAGUUGUAUCUGUUGGUUCACACUAUCAAACAUCUAUCAAUAACAAAACUAAGUGUGACAUACUUUUACUUGACAAAAGGUUAGUUAAUAGAUUCAAUAUCUUUAAAAUAUUUUAUAUUCUGCAAAUUUUGAUUGAUACUUACCAAAAUUCUCUAAAUGAAGUUUGACAGUAGUUCGGUUGACUUUAUGUGAUAAAUUUGCAACUAAUGAUGGUGAACACUUGCAUCAAACUGUUAUAAAAAAUAAUAUUUUGCUAGCCUGUGGUAUUUGUGUGAGAAAUUAUAAAGGUAAUUCAAUUUAUUUUCACUUUAUUUUAUUUUAUUUUAUAGUUUAUCAAUAAUAUAGCACAUUGUGCAGGACCGUCACUUUAUACUAUUCGAGCAAGCAAAUUGUAUGUCAAUUACUACUUAGAUUUUGCUCAAUACCUAUACAGUUGGUAAAUUUUACAAAUACCAAAAUAUUAAAUUAUUAAUAAUAUUUCAUACCCUUACGAAUAUGUAUUUGAAAAAUUUGCAGGUUUGAGAAUGAUAAAUGUGCUCAGAAAUUAGUGACGUGGUUGCGGUCAUGCAAAUUUACAAUGUCCCAAGCAUCGUUGAUAUCAAAUGCUAAGAGAAUAUGGAUAUUCGAAUAUACAGUUCUACUUACGAUACAAUUCCUCUCAAUUAAUUAAGUGAUGAACAAGUAUCUAUAUGUAGUUUCGAAUUAAUAAUUGUAAUCUAUACAUUCUUUGGAUGGUUUUAGGUUAAAUAUUUUCGGAUACUUGCUUACAUUCAAAGUAUCAAUAUGGAUAAUAUGUUCCAUGAGUUAUGCAAAAAUUGUGGACAAUCAUGUCAAUCUCAUUUUGCAAAAAUGGUGUGUAUCCAUUGUUAUAAUGUAGUCGACAUUAUUGUCAGGUAAUUAUUUUCAUAUAUUUUAAAUUUUAAUAUAAUUUUUUGCAUGAUACAUCAUAAUUUCUUCUUAACAGAUACAAUGUUAACAUAGAAGUUAGAAAUUCCAGUGGUAACCUAUACCUCACUCUUCAAGACAAGCAUGCACGAUUCAUAUUUCGUUGUGAUGCUUCUUAUCUUAGAGAUUUAAAAACAAAGGUAUACAUUAUUUAUAUGUAUAUAUUUUUAUAUAAUAUUAUUUACAAACUGUCUAAAACAAAAUAUAAUUUUGAAUUAUGUAUGCUUUUAAUUGUCAGGAAAAUAGAGGUGCAUUGUUUGACCAACACAUUAAUUCAUGCAAAAAUCGUGAAUUCUCAUUUAUAGUACGAACUCCACAAAAAUCAACAAAAUUAAUUAAAUCCCCAAUACUGGCGUUCGUACUCAGAGGUGAUUGGUGUGAAAAAUGUUUACACCUUCGUAGAAGAUUAUCAAAUCAGAGGCAAAAUAUUUGUAAGUAUUUCAUUUACUUAUCAAAUUAAAUAUUCAAUUAUAUUUAAUUGGACCCUUAUGUCACUCAAUCUAUGAUAUAGACUUCUAUUUUUUUUUUCAGGAUCCAACAUUUAUCAAAGUGAUAGUUUAUAAAUAAUGGAGAUGUUUUUAUCAUAUAUUGAACUAUUGUUACAAAGUUUCAUUUUUUAAAUAUACUUUCAUAUGCCCGUGAUUAUUAUAUUUUACUUUUUUUUUAAAAUUUCUCUAUAGAUUGUAAUUUUUUUUCAAAAAUAUAAUCUACUGUGCAUAGCACGGGUAUUUAUACUAGUAAGAGUAAAUUAGAUGGUUAUUGUUAUAGGCAAAAAAAAAAAAAAAGAGCUAAUCAACUUGCUACUCAAUCACUUUAUCAUUAGGGAGUAUUGAUUCUUCGUUUUGACUUUUGACAUUUUGAGUACUCAAUUCUUGAAUUUUGACAUUUGUCUCUUGAAUUUCGACAUUACUCAAGCAUUACCAAAAGUAAAAGUUUAGACACUUGCAUUACCUUCAAGCUCUCUUAUUUCAACUUUCUGCCCAUACAACAUGAAAUCUCCCAAAGGAAAAAAUAAGAAAAAAGAGAGAAAAAAAAACCAACCUUAUUAAAAUGCAAUAGCUCAAGAACCUACAUUAAAUUCUUAUCUCACUCUAAUUACACAUUGUUCGCUUCUUUUUUUUUUUCCUGUCAUUAAAAUUAUUGGAUAUUUAGUUUAUUUUUUGCUACUAGUUUAUUAUUUGCUCACGUGCAAAUGUCAAACAAAUGCUUCGCCCAAUAGGGCUUAAUUGAAAAAAAAAACACUAAAAUAAAGAAAGAAGUGAAAGAAAGAGAUUUAAAAUGUAAAGAAAUGUGGAUGCUCAAAUGUUUUCUUCUUGUGCCAAAUUCAAUAAUUGGCCGAUGCUUGCAGAAAACAUCUGAAAGGGAUGAGCAUCCUCCAUCGAUUUCACCUGCAUAAAACAAAACAAUGGAUAAACACAAGGUAAAACGCAUUCCUAAAUCCUAGAGAAUUCUGUACUGAUUAAAUUAUCUGCAUGAACCUGCAGUCUACGGUCUGGUUUCUGCCUAGCAAAAGGUGGAGAACCCUAAAUCUCCAUUCUCUACUUUCAUGGAAGGGCCACCAACAGUCACUGCCACAGGUCAGAUAUUUACACCAAGCAUGCAAUUUAGGACACAUUUUCAACAUAAAGCAGAAGCUCGAUAUUUCCCUACAAUAUUCCACAAGCAGAACCCCAAGAAAACCAGCAACAAAUGUGACAGGUAAUGAAUCACAAACAGCCUUUCAAGUAGGCAGUAAAAUUUUGAAUAAUGUAUCAAAGAUUAUCCCCAGAAUUCAAUGCAGAAAAGAAAAAUGAAAGGUCUGUAGUUGAUCACUGCCAGUUUUCUGCACUUGUUCUAAAACAUUAAACAAAGAAGAAACAAUCAUGUGUAAACUUCAGUCCACUGCAUACGUCAAGAAGCACCGUUGGUUUUGUCUAGCUGUGUGACACGCGAAUAAACAUUUCCCCAUUCAGUCCUUUCAGAUUUGGGUACAGUUGCAUUGCUGAAAGUAGGUAGCCAAUCAUCAGGGCAAUCAUUUGCCUGAACCCACGUGAGAGACCGUGGUGGGUUUCGGAAGUCAAAGUUCAUAUCAGAAAAGUCUCUAAUGUUUGAUUUGGAUUUCUUUUUCUGGUGAUCUGAAGGGUUACCAGAAGCCUGCUUGGAUGUCUUUUUCCUUUGAUCGGAAGGGCCAUCAGAAGGCUGCAAAACAAAUCAAACAGUUUCAUUUUCUUCAUAAAAGCACACACAUGUAUGCCAAAUUAUGAUGAGAUAAUUUAGUGUUUUGAGGGCUGUGGUAUACUAUCAAUAUGACUGAAGGAAGAUUGUCACCAAACCAAACAUUUAUGCCUGACCGUAGCAUUAGCAUCAGAUUUCAACUUUUUCUUGCGCCUGCUUCCUGUCUCCAGGAAUUCGAGGACCUCGACCUUUGAUCGGAAUUUUAGCCCUGAUGGCGAAAAGAAAUACUGCACAAUAAAAACCACAAAUUGGUAUUAUUAAAGCGCCAUAGAUCAACUUCCAGGCACUUUGCUGAAUAGGCAUAAUACAAUUUGCAUAUUUGUACAGAAUCAUCAGAGCGCCAGGAAAGGCAGUAAAACAAACUAAUGACAAAGUCAACAACAAAAUUGACAUCCCCUACAAUGCAAACUCCUGAGAUGUUAUUGCAGAAAAACUAUGAAUAUGUAAAAACUCCACUUAACUUAGUGCAGAAAAACUAUGAGUGCUCAAUCAAACUGCUAAAAAUAAGAAUACCCAUACUUCACUCAAUAUAGCAGACACACAAACAACUUUAUUUGCAGAUGCGGUUGACCAAGAUUGACUACAACAAUCAACAGCCUAUAACUAGCUGAAUCUAGCUAACAUUUUAAAAUAGCCUGGAUGCACAGAGAUAUAUGCCAAUGUUCAGAGAAACAAAUGAGAAGAGUAUGCAAUUGGCCACCCAGCAGGCAUUCGUGUGAAACCAUUACUAUCUUCUAGGAACACCACAUGGGGAUCUAUCGUUGCAUGAAAAAUAUCUUCUCACAAAUAAAAGAUUAAGAGCAUAUUCAAAGAUUUUGAGCAAAUAUUCCCACAAAUUUUAACUACUAAAUCGCAUGUUAAAAAAAACCAAUAGCAGAUCUAAUGCCAUAAACCUCUUCCGUUGCAUGACUGUUAAUGCAAUUUAUAUGUCCAAAGUAUUUUAAUACACACCGUUUAGCCACCCAAGUCACUUGGCCUUCAAAAGUUGCAUGCUGCCACAAUGAAAUGCUCAUGUCAACCGUGAAUUAUUGACCAAAAUGAAUGUGCAAAUAAUUUAACAGGUAAAGCCGAUAGCCAAACAGGAGAAACUCUCAACACCAAUGAUGGGAAACUAGAAAAACACGAUAGCCACUACUAAGACAAGAAAGAAUAAAGGAAAGGAAGGAAACCGUAAAGCUCACAUCAACAACCCUAUCAGAAUUAUCUUAGGAAAAAACAGUGGAAGUAUUCCAUAUAGAAGACAACCUCCAAAACCAUAACCCUGCCUUUCUAAUCAAUUUUGGAGGGAAAAUCACAAGCAUAUCCUUUCAAAACUUUUAUAAAUUUUGAUCAAGGUCAUUUAUUUUCUAGAUGCAGAGCCAGUCUUCACAUCGCUAAACAGUUAAAAACAGAAAGAGUCUUGAGCAGAACUUACAUAUAAGUCCUCCUAAACAGUUACCAAUGAGGUGGAACUGAUCUCCUACUUUCACUUGACGACACCCACCAGAAUUAGAAAUGAACAACCUAAAGAUAACAUGUAUCUACAUAUAGAAGUCAACUAACAGAAGAAAUUACUUUGUCAGUGUUGCCAGCAGUUUUACCGGCAGUACGGACUUUCCAUGUGAACCCCCAGUCCAGCGGCAGCCAGUCUGGUCUCACCACCAAUGCAGUGCAACCCUUCCUAGCUUGAGGACCCAUCUUUGUUAGCUGUUGCAACAUCAGAGUUGCAGGUGCAGUUUCCAACAUAGAACCAAUCUUCAUUUGCCCCUCAGCAUGGUACAAAGUUUCAUUAUACAUGCCAUUAUCACCAACAGAUUCAUGACCGACAAAUUCAUGAGACCCACCUUGGUUUAGUUUAAGAUUACUUUCUUUAUCAUCAUGAGAUUUUUCCCUAGGUAACUCGAUCUGCUCCUCGGGAGAAGCAUUGAGGUCAAUCAAGGCCUUAUCAUUCAAGGGAGGUGCUACAAAAUGGUAGCUGUGUGAAAAGCGGUCAGCCAUGUUGGAGAGUUGUGAAGCUCUAAAUCUAUCAGAAACUUAGAGAUGGGUUCCAGAAAGCGAUGAGUUUGAUUGACAGCUACAGGAUCAGAAUGGCAACUCUUGGACCAAGCACAAUGCAGUGAAUUAAAGAUAUGCGAUAAAUGGGCAUUUAUGUUGCAAUAAAAAGAGAAUCUAGGACUGGAUAUCGGUCGGAAUACAAUGACUUCAUGAUUUUUGCUUGUCAUCCAUCACAGCACAUCAAUAACCAUGAAAAACAUACGUAUACAAGCGAGUGUAAAAAGAAAAACAGUCAAUGAGAAAAUUUUCACAAAGAAAUCAGUCAUCUUUCAUCUUCUUACCAUAUUUAUUCAGUUAAUGCUUACCUUAAUGCAACUUCAACUUUUAUGCUUAUUUCAAUCUUAUCAUAUUCAAUGUGUCCUAAAAUCUUGCAAGCCUGAUGAAAAGUAUCCAGUAACCUCAUAAUGGGAGUGAUUUUUCUCUUUAUUGCGAUCAGUAUUCUCAUACUUACCCCAUAUUUUGCAAGGGACUCUAAAAUGUUAAUAACGAGUUGUGGAUAAUCCAUAACUCAUCAAGAAAUUUAAAAAAAAAAUGUAUAUAACAAGAUCUCAAUAAUUUCAACUAUCACAAGUAAGAACAUUCUAGUUGUCUCAGCAAAGAACUCAAGUAUGAGUCUUCUUUCACUUUUUCUUAGGCACAUUUUACAUCUAACCAGAGAUUGCAACAACAACUAAACCUGAAGACAAAUUUUUUGUGCAAUUUAACCUCCUAGAUAGAAACUUGCAAGGGAAGAAACAAAAAAACAUGAAGGCAAAAGGGGGAGAACAAGAAGCUUUCAACCAAAGGAACUACCUUAAAAAAAGAAGUUCAAAUAAACCAAAUACUCAGGAGAUUUCUUCAGCUUCUGGAAAUAGAUAAAUCUAUGGCUUAAUGAUAUCCACAAGUAUUCUAGAACAGCUUUACCAAAGUCACAUUAAGUUUAGUGUGGCAGCUUUUUAACCCCUCGAAGUCAAAAAGUUUAAAGGACUUAUGGCUUCAAUAAUAAAUUUCCUCCACAAAUAGAUUUGAGGUAUUUUACUUCAAAUGACAAGGUUACAAGUAUUCCACUGAGCUAGAUAUAUUUAUUUAUGGUUUGUCUUACAUUCUUAUCAAAUAGAUUUCAAAGAUUUCUUGACAGGAUUGUAGAACAAAUGACAUUUCAGUUGAUAUUCAGCUAUUUAAAAAGAUAUAAUCACUUGUAAAGCAUUUUGGUUGGCCUUAACUACUUCUUACAUACAUAUACCCAAAUACAGGAAGAAAGGGAGUAUCAAAGAGAGAUUGCAUCCUAGGUUCUAUAAGAUACCACAAAGAAAGUCUUUGGAUUAAAGUAACUGUGAUCAUCCUUGUAAGUUAGUAGUAAGUAUGCCAUCAACUCUGCUUUUUAAACAGAGAUAUCUUGCAAAAUCCCAUUAAGUAAUGAUUUUGAGAAUGGUUGAGCACCAUAGUAAUAAAAGGCACCAAAAUUAGCACAAAAAUCAGCAAAUUGCAAAGUGAUAAUGUUGAGAAAAAAAUGUAUGCAUUUUGAACUAGAUGUAUACAACAGAGUUUCAUAGCUUCACUUCAUAUUAUGAGUUUAAAAAUACUAAAAAAAAAAAAAACAAAGGCACAGGUGGAAGGAAAUGGAUAAAUCCUUUGCUACCAGAUUUAACAUUAACAAGAACUUAGUUCACAGGAAAAAUAAGUUUGACUAUCUUUCAAUCUCCUAUGCUGCUAUGCAUCAAACAUAUCAAGAAAUUGCGGUCAACCUUUGCAGCUGCAAAACACAAGUGCAUUCCACUAAAACUCUUCCAAGUUCUAAUAUAAAAAUAAUUGGCUUCAUUCAAUGGCAAAUUAGGUAAAAUUUGCAGUGUUAUAUGCAAUGUCAUUAACAUUUGUGUGAAUUUAAAAUAAUAAACUACAUUGACAGUGACCACAGAUGGUCACAAAGAACAAAAUUUAUCAGCAAUAAUUGGUAAUAGAUAAAGAAGUAUGCACUUAAUGGCUAACUAGCAAAAAACACCAAAAUCACAUCUCUUAACUACUCCAAGAAAAGUCCCCCCCCCCCCCAACCAAAACACACACACCAAAAAAAAAAGGUCAUUGAUGCGAGCCCGCCUAGCACAAAAUUUGCAGUUAUGAAGGCUUACAGAUGAGUCCUAAGAUUCCUGAUUACACCUUAUUUCUCGCAGGUUCUUGUGUCAACUAAAACACCAAAAAUAACACGCUACUACUAAAGUUCAAAGAGAGAGAGAGAGAGAAGUCCAAAAAUUAACUCAACAGUGACCAUUGCAAUUAACUGCAAUGUUAUGGAGGCAAAAAUUUCCAUCCUCAAUAUCCACAAUACAACUAUCGAUACAAAGCUACUACAUUUCACCUAAAACACAAACACAACCAAAAAAAAACAAAUUUAAUAAUAGCUUCUAAACAAAAGUGAAAGAUAUUGUCUGGAGAGAGAGAGAGAGAGAAUUACUCUGUCAGAUGUUCCAGCAGUGGCGCCGGAGGUUCGGACUCUCACUUCUAUCUUCCAAUCGUCCGGCAACCAGUCAGGCCGCUCCGCCAUCUCCUCUACUGGUCUUCUCGGCCGCCGUUGUGACAGUGGAGUUACUUCUAUAGCAACAGAGGCCAUAGGAGUGGCUGAAGGUUUGGUACUGGUUUCCGCCGGGGCAGGCUUUUCCUCUGCUGAUGCUGCGUCGUCGACCUUCUGGUCGGGGUCGAUAAACCAACCGGUUUCUAGCAGCGGGUCGGGAAGUAUUUGAUCGUUCAAGGCUAUGUCCGGGUCGACCAGGUUGGAGCCUUGAACCGGAUUUUGUAGGCCCGAGAAAAUGGGCUCGGACAUUUGGGUCGAAAGAGUUGUAUGCCGGGAGGGAAGACGGGCGUGAGAAUUUAAAUCAAAUUCCGCCUACCGGCUGAUUAAAAAAAAAAAAAAAAAAAAAUUGGCUAAGGUUUGUUUAAUAGAUGAAUGGUUUUUUCUAGCUAAGGUUAAAACAAACUAACUAAGCUUCAUUAAAUAAUGAUUUUUUCAAAAUAUCCGUUUGAAUUGCUAUUUCCUAGAGUUUUCGUAGAUGAAUGUAUUGUAAUAAUUUGAUGUAUAUGAGGAAUAAAGAUAAUUGAAAUAUGUGUUGAUGAAGAAUUGUAAAAAUUUUUUGAAAAAAAAAAGACUUUCCAAACAUAUGAUUUAUGUGUCAUAAAACUUUGAUCUUAUCGCCACUCUUAAAUAGUGAUCACUUCAACCUCUAGUAUAUUUAUACAUUUUUAGACAAGAAAAUAUAAGAUCCUCAUCCGCAAGACUCAAAAUUGUUGAUGAAUAAAUAGUAUAUAUUUAGAACUAAACUCUUUCGCAAAAUAUUGAAAAUUUUAGAGAAUUGUAGAAGGGCAUACCAUGUUUGAAGCUAUGAUGUCGAAAUUUGAGUUGUUCCUGUUCGUACUUUGUAGGCCUCAAGAUUUUGGAGGUGAUUGUCGAAAACAAAUUAUUUGCUGACAAAUUCAAGCAAAUCAGGAAAUCAAAAAUCUCGUUAAAUUUUAGCUUUGCUGCAAAUUUUCGCUCUUUUGAUGACUUUGCUGGCUUCACAACUUCUCUCUUUUCCUUCUCUCUGACGGAGUUUUUCAAAAUACAAUGAAUGGGUUAUUCUGUAACCUUUCCUUUUCCUACUCUAAUUUUUUUUCAAAAUAUGACAGAAGGGCAUUUUCCUAUUUCCCUAUUUAUGAGUUUCUUUUUUUUUUUUUUUGGCCUAGAAUGACAUUGUUCCAAUUAAACUUUUCAUGGCUUCAUUUACAUCAUCCAGUUGGUAGAUUUUAUCUGAACAUUAAACUUUUCGUGGCUUUAUUUACAUCGUCCAGUUGGCAGAUUUAAUCUGAACGGUAAGCUUUUCAUGGCUUCAUUUGCAUCAUCCAGUUGGUAAAUUUAAUCUGAACGGUAAGCUUUUCGUGAAAUUGUCUGAAAGGAGAAGCGAACCAAAUUAUGCGGUUAUAUUGAAUUGGAUUACAAUGGUAGAAUUUUUUAACUUCAUUCACCUGGAUGAUAUUCAAAUCAUGAAUUGACAUAUUAUUGUUUUAUACAAAUGACAAUUACACACCAAAAUCCUAUUGCAUGCUAGGAGGAGUGCCGAAAUUAUUUUUAAAGUGAAGUUCAUGCUAGCAGGAAAGUGAAAACUUCACUUGCCUUAUUUAAUGACGAUUUUAUUUGCAGUAGAUUAGGUAAUUAUCACUCUAUGGAUUGUAAAUUAUUUGAGAUAAUUUUGUAAAAAAAGUACUGUAGCACUUUUUUGAUAUGAUAUAUGUGAGAUAAAAAGGUGAUUGGAAAAUGUGUUGAUUAUACAAGCAAAUCAGUGUGUGUCAAUAAGGUGUAAAUAAAAUGUAAGUUUUUACUAUCCAAACACGGUGUUGAAUUUAUGGCUUGGGCCUUGGUGCUAUAGUCCCAAAACCAAAAAAAAAAAAACCGUAUAACACUGAAAUUAUUACAUUUGGUCACUCACAUUUUAAAGCCAUUGUAUCUUGAUCUCAAACUUUAAACAAAAAAAAAAAAAAAAAAGUUAAUAUUGAGCUCAAUACUCUAAAAUACUUAAAAUCUCAAUUUUAUUGAGGUUUCCACAGUAUAAAAUCUAUUACUGUGAUCAUAAUGGUCGCAUAAAGUACUCAGCCUAAGUAUAUAAUAUUUUGAAAUAUCAUUGAACUUUUCUUGUGUUUAAACGCUAUAUGUUUAAAUACACGCUAUCCAACGCAAACAUGUAUCUCUGUUCCUUUUUCUGUGUCAAAACACAAAAACAUAUCCCUUUUUGCAAAUUCUAAUGAAUAUUCAAUUGAUAGUUUACCAACUAUAUAUUGGAUCUUGCUCCUAGUAAUAUUAGGGCUUUUAUAUUGUGCCACAAAGGCAUAAAUUAAAGAGUGGAUUACUUUGUUGGAAAUGAUUUUUGUGCUAAAGUGUAUGUUACUCGGAGGUGGGCAAUAAUCUCUACUUUAUAAUGGACUCACUUCUUCUUCUUCUUUUUCUGUAAUUAACCCUUUGUCUAGGAAACAAAAACCAUACUAGUAUCAUUCACACAAAAAAGAAGAAAAAUAAAAAAAAAAAAGAAGAAAGGCCAAUUAAUCUUCUUAAGGUAUUAGUUUUCAUUUUCAGUUUAAACUUUAAAGUAUUUCCUGAUUUUUCAUGAAGACUAUAAACUAGUAUUCUUUAUAAUAAUAAAAAAAAAAAAAGAAAUUGCAUACAGACUAUAGUUUCAAAAAAAAAAAAAAAAAACUAGUGUUCUUAUCGAUUUUGUUUGGCUUAGUAAAUAAGUUUUCCUUACUCCGUCAACCCCAUCAAGUCGAACUCCAGAGACCUCUUCAUUCACAUUCGUACAUCAGAAUCAGGUAAAAUUAUAACUCAAUAAACCCAUAGUUAUUAUUUUUUUUAAAAUGUAUACAAGUCAAAAUACAGAGAAACGAUCACCGUAUUUGCAGUUCUUGAUUCAUACAUAAAAAGAUUAUUGUGUUUAACUUGACUGGAUUACAUAAAAAUCCCAACUUGGAUCGGUUUAUUUCUGGGUUUGGCUGAAUUCAGUGAUGUUUUGAUGGGUUUUUGGUUUAGUUGAUAAAAUAUUAUGUAGGGUUUUGUAAUUUGUUGAUUAUUGUUCGAUUAUGGCCACGGUUGUGUUGAGUUAUGUGCAAAAUUUAUGGCCUUUUUCUAUCUUGAAAGAUGAUUUGAGGGUUUCAAAUAGUUUAGUGAAGAAAUUGCCAAUACCCGAAAGCACAAAAAGGUUUGUUUAUGCUAUCCAAGAGCCUGAAUCAGGGGCCGUGAUAUAUGUUCUCUGUGUUCAGAAUUUAUCAGAAAGGUCAGCUUUAGAUGCUGAAUGCCUUAUUAAAGUGGUUAAACCUGAUGCCGUGCUCGCCCAGGUUGGUCCCUCGAUCGAGGGGAAUGAGUUUUCUAUGGAGAAAAUUGCAUCUGAAGCUUGUAGUAGCCCAGAUAGUUAUUUUAGUGCUAAGAGUGAUGAUAGGAGGGGUAAUGAGUUUCUGUUGCCAACAUCGGCAUUUGAGGUAUUAAGGAGGUGUUUUUUGCAUAAAAUUAAUAAGGAGAAGUAUGAGAAUGUGGCUGGGAGUUUGGUAUUGAGGGAGAUUUUCGGGGUCAGUUUUAAUGGUCAUUUCUUCUCGGCUAAGAGGGCUGCUGAGGAAGUUGGUGCGGCAUUCUUUUUGCUGGAGUCACCUUUUGUGAAAUGUAGUGGUGAUGGUAAAUGCUCUUCGGAGAUGGACAACGAGGAGGAGGAGGUGGUGGAGGUUGGGUUGGGAACUGGUCUUCGUGGCUUUGGUAUACAACCUAAUAGUUUGGUUCCUCAGAAAGGGAUCUCAAUGGCGUCAAUGAGUUUAAGGCGGUUUUCUGCUAUGAAUGAUGUUCAAUCCUGGAUGGUGAAGUCCUUGUCCAGAGAAUUGAGUAACUUAAGUUCUGUUCUAAAGGUGGGUUCUGAAGAUGUUCAACCCAGGGUUGAUUAUGAGGCCCCACAGUUUUCACAAUCCAUCUAUCCCUUACUCGUUGAUUUACAUGAUAUUUUUGUUGACAUCCCAUAUAUGGGCAGUGCUCUAGCUCAUGCUCAAAAGAUGCUUUCUGCUAUUAAUAAGGGAGAAGCUGUUGAUGGCCAGCUCCUUUCAGAAGUUCAUGUAUUUCGGAUUGCUGUUGAGGGAUUGCGGAUUGCUUUGAAUGAUGCAGCUCGGCUCCCUAUUAACAAAUUGGGGAACCCUCUCCCCUCUAAAUGUGAGUUUUCGGAGCUUCCAGUUCAGGAAAAGUCCCAUGCACUCAUUGCACAAGCUCUUCAAAGCCAGACUACAAAGUUCAAAUCAAUUGUAGCACUAGUUGAUGCUAAUGGCUUAGCAGGCUUGAGAAAACACUGGAAUACUCCUGUUCCAGUGGAAAUUAAGAACAUGGUUCAACAGCUGGUUACUAAUUGUGAGAAUGACAGGAAAAUACUCAGCGACAAGAAGGCGUUGCUCUCAGCAAAACCAAUAUUAGCAGUUGGGGCAGGUGCAACAGCAGUGUUAGGAGCAUCUUCCCUCUCCAAAGUCGUUCCAGCAUCAUCUUUGGUCAAGAUUUUGACCUUCAAUGUUCCUGCUUCGCUCAAACUUAUGGUGACUCAAACCUAUAAGGUUGUUGCUCUUACAUUUGGUAAAAGUGUUGGUCCUUCAAAAGUGAUCGCACCUGGAGUGGCAAGUGGAGUCAAAACGUCUUUUCUGAAGGCAGCUGCUUCUGCUGAGAAAAUUCGUGCUGUAGCUCAUAGCAUUAUAGCUUCUGUUGAGAAAACUAGCCUUUCUGCCACAAGAACUGCAUUCUAUGAAAUAAUGAGGAAACGGCACGUUCAGCCGGUUGGCUUUCUGCCAUGGGCUACCUUUGGAUGUAGUAUUGCUACUUGUGCAGGAUUGCUUAUGUAUGGAGAUGGAAUAGAAUGUGCAGUUGAAUCUGUUCCUGCCGCUCCUUCAAUUGCCAGUUUAGGGCGUGGCGUCCAAAGUCUACACCUGGCAUCUCAGGCAGUCCGGCAAGCUGAAAGCUCCAAAAUACAAAAGUCAAUAGAAUCCCUUCUUGAUAGAUUUAGGAAGAUGAAGGUUCAAUGAUGACAAUUUAACAAUAAUCUAAAGUUGCAAAUUGUUCCGACUUUAAUUUAUCCUAUAAUGGAAUACAUUAAAACGUAUGGUGUAAAUACAGUUCAGGAAGAGGUGUUUAGCAACUUGUUUUUGUAAUUCUUGUUGAUAUGUUGUCUGUAUACGAGAUUCUUAUUUGUGAUUGUGGAUGAAUAAAAGUUGGCACAAAGCUUGCACCCGAGUUCCUUGUCUCUUGAUCUUUCAAGCAGAAACUAGGAUAAGAGUUUCAGAAAUCUGUGUCACCAUUGUCAGCAAGCAUUUAUGCCAGUGUUUUUCAUUUUUGUCUUAUACGUAGCAUUUUGGUAAACACAUCAUAAGCUGUAUUACCAACUAUUUGCUUCAUCUUUCUCUCCUUUCGCUCUUCUUUUCUGCUGUGCAGUUUAACGACAUUCUGUAACGAUUACCCUGCUGCCUCAUGAUGUAUUUAGCUUGUUUCUGCCAGUAACUCCCCGUACUCUUGUCGCACUUCUUGUUUGGUUAUGGUUCUGUUUAAGUAUUUAAAGAGUAUUUUAAUCCUGAUAUAUUUCUUUCUGCAAAGAUGUACCUAUGUUAUUCCUAGGAUCUAUAUCGUAAUGUUGAAACUACAAUGGGUUUUGUAUAAAAAUCAGCAGCUUUGAUCAUGUAACAGAAUUAUGUGGUCACAAAGCAGAUCAACCUCCUGAUUAGAGUCACUGAGAACUCGAAUCAUGUAAGAUUUUAGGUAUAUCUGGAACAUUUUAGUUUUCAGACUUGAUGGUUUCGUCCCUUGUUUUUGGCUUUUCAGCUAAAUUAUCUUUGAGCUGGAUUUUACUUAUCUAGCGGUGAGAUGUCUUUUUUGGAUACAUAAUGCUCCUUCUUGAUCAACCCUGCUAAAUUGUGUUCCUUUAUUGCUACGUGGAAGUAGCUUGUCGGGCAAAAAUAUAACAAGUAGAGAAGAAGAAAAGCUAAGCAAUACCUUAUGGCUUUGUUGUUAGUGGGAGCCGUAAUCAUCCCCUUGGCCCUGUUCUGUCUUCACCUCCUGCUUCAUACAGCAAUGGUCUUGUCUGAUGGUUAGGUAUUCUUUUUGUGCACACUUUCAGAUAUUUUGUCAUUGCUUUGAUGACAAUCCUAGGUAAGGUGGAGGUUCUAAAGACCUGAACUUUAUCUUGACAACAUCUUUUGCAUCUGUGGUUUGGGGUGUUUUGUUAGAAACUGCAAGGAUUUUCUUUGAAUCCUCAUCCGUCUGUAUCGGAGCUCAACUCCAAGACCACUUAUACAGAUGUCAUGGAAUGCUGCUUUAUUUGGCAUUUCAGAACUUAUCCUGUUAAUGGUCUUUCUGAACUGGAUUGUUGCAUGAGGUACUUUUUGACCUCACCUCGUACAAUUCUAGAUGGAGAAUAUACAACAGUUUAUCUUUGUGAAUCCCAGGUAUGCUGAAAUUUCUGGACAAUCAGUAGAGUUAUACCCACUUGUGGAAGAUAGAUGGUACUUCUGAUUGGGGGAUUUCCUGAUGAAAUUAAUCAUCUUGAACCUUAAAAUUUGCAUUAUCUAGCCAUGUUUCUUAUUAGAAGUUUCAUGGAAGUUAUUUGGUUGUUUGAAAAUAGUUAUCGCAUUAACUUAACGCUAUCAAAGUUGAUUAUCAUUUUCAGGUUAUUGUUGGGAAGCUGCUGAACUCAAGAUGGAAAUUGUCUUUCCUUUCUUCUCCUCUUUUCUUUGUAGCUCAAAAGCUCUCUCUUCGUUUCAUUCCUCUACGUAACUCCCAAACUAGGCCUAAUGAAGUUCCGUUUAGAACAGCCCCUCGUCAUUAAUCGCUAUCCGUUGGUGGUUCUAGAAAUAUGAUGAAAUACUACUAGUUUGGCAAUGUAAUUGAUGUGAACUGGUGAUAGACCUUUUUGCUACCAUUUGCUUAGGUAUAAUUGGAAUCCGUACAGAUGCACAAUUGUCUAUAGUUAGAUACAAAAAAUUCACUUUCAAUUUCUAAACUUUGAGUUGGAAGAUACAUUUCGUUUCCAAAUUUUUCAACAGGACGCAUUUAAUACAUAAAUUAACAAUUUCUAGUCACGUUUAGUUCAAAAACAGUAAAUUGCUGUUUAAUCUCCAGAGCAUGAUCUUUUUAUUUGCACUCCGGAGUAUGCUCUUUUUAAUCUUCAAAUUGUAUGCCACGUGGCAGAUUUUGCUUAGUCACUCCAUUUCCUUCUCCAAACCACAAAGCACACCUUAAUACCUUGUCCCAUCACUUCCCAAUCAAUAUAAAAAGUAAAAAAGAGAAUCUAGAAAACUCUAGAGUUUAUUACAGCAACAACAAAUUAAGGCUUCGUCUGGGAGUGGAGGAUUUGGACAGAAAAGAAAGAAAAAGAAGAGAAAGUUAAAAUGGAAGAAUUUAGCAGGAAAGAAAGGAAAAGAAAUGGAAGGAUUUAAAAGGAUGAAUUAUAGUCAAAAUUUUUCCUCCCAAAAACAAAUGAGAAGAAAGUUUAAGGAAGCUUGUUAAAUUUUUUUAAAUACCUAUUUUAUUCUUAAAAAAGUUUUGAACAAAUAUUUAAUAACUUUUAUAUCUAAAAUCAUUCUACUAAUUUUUAAAACUCCCAAAUAACAUAACAGUCUCUUCUCUUCUCUUUUAUCAUAACUUAAGUUUUCCAUUCUUUUCUUUUCUAUCCUAAACUCCCAAACUAAGCCUAAGAUAAUAUUUUGUUUAGUCCAAGGUACCAUAUGCAAAGCACCGGACUAAAAUCAUCAUCUUCAACAUCAGCAGCAGAAUCAGUUUCUCUGGACAAUCAAGACACUGAAAAAACAACUGAAAAAGGCCAAAGAAUAUGGCUUUAAUUCCCACAAAUUCCCAUUCCCAGGUCAAUGAAGGACCCUUGUUUGCAGAAGUGGACAUGGGUGCUGACUCCUCUGCAACCUCUGUUCGUGCCACCGUGGUCCAGGCCUCUACCAUUUUCUAUGAUACCCCUGCCACCCUGGGUUAGUCCAAUUACUGCUUUUUCAAUGGCCCUUUUGCUAAGUAUGUUUUGUUUCUUGAAUAUCUACUGUAUCUGGAGCUUUAAUGGUGACUGAAAUCUUGGGUUUUAGUUUGUUUUCUGAGUGACCCUUUUGAUAAGUAUCUAAAUUUGUUCAUAAUCGACCCCUUCUUCUUUUGGGUUUUAGCGAAUCUCCGGGUAUUGUGAAGUCCUGAAUGAUUGGUGUAGCAGCAUAGGGUGCUUUAGGGCCCUAAAAAAUCUCAUUGUUAGUUGAAGAACUCAAUAAUUUGAACCUACAACAUCCUGCAUGCUGAUAUAUUGGAUCUCAGAUUGAUACUUGUCAGAGAAUUACAUAAUUCAAAUGCAUUUAAUUAAUUGCCUGCAGAUUUUGGUAUGCACGAAAGUAUGUCCCCAUUUUAAAGUUUUAUAAUCUAAAAUCUUUUAAAUUCUUCAGCAUCUGGACUGAAUAAAGUGGAAGCUGCAUCUGCUACUUCUUUGGGUUCAAGUUGAUGAUUGGAGGCCAUAGGAAGUCACAAGUCAACUAGCAUUGCAAUAAUUGACAGAAAAUUUGUAUAUAAACUUGAGAAACCUCUGUCAACUUAGUAUGCAUGGGAACAAUUAAGAACAUUUUUCUACAUUAAUCUCAUGUAUCAGGACCAAGCAUUCUAAACUGCACUGUGCAAAUGACAGGGAUGUAGUUUCCCACACUCACAUACAUACCUGUAUGUUGCAGAAGAAUGAUGAAAAGCAUGGCAAAAGAGCAGCUUACAAAGCAAUCUCUCUUAUCCGCUGACUAAAUGGUCAAUGUGACUGCCUAGUAAAAUUAGGAUCUCAAUAGCUUUCUAGAAGUAGUACAGAUAGACAAAUGCGAAUGGUACUGCUUGGUGUGUGUCUGCACAUGCAUAAGCUUGAGUCUUACCAUGAAUAAAGCUGUUAUUUUGAUGAAUGACACUUCCAUACAAACUGAAAAGUUUAUUUCUGCAUUUAUAAUUAUUGCUGCAGAGGGAACUUUUGUAUUUACUGGUUGUGAUAGGAUAUGCACUCUCAAUCACAAUAGCUCAAAAAUAAAAAGAAGAAGAAAGGCAUUAUCUGGGGCCUUUAUAACAGUCACUGGCUAUGAUUUUCAGCUUCCAGAACUGGUACAUGAAUUAGAGAGUUAGUUAUACAAUUCAAGAAUCUCUUAGAAAAGGAUGCAAGCUUCAUAAGCUUAGAUCUUUUUAAAUGAGCGACAUCAUAUCUUACUUGUAAUUAGUUACAAUUUUUCUGUCUAUCUUCAGAUAAAGCUGAAAGGCUGCUCGCUGAAGCAGCCUCUUAUGGUGCCCAAUUGGUUGUAUUUCCUGAAGCGUUUAUUGGUGGCUAUCCUCGUGGAUCAAAUUUUGGUGUUACAGUUGGUAAUCGUACAGCAAAGGGUAAGGAAGACUUCCGGAAAUAUCAUGCUGCAGCCAUAGAUGUGCCUGGUAAGAGCUUAUGCCUAUUUUUCUUCUGCAAGCAGAUGAUUAGAAUAAAGAAAUAAAACAACAGAAGAUAAAAACAUAAAAAGAUAUAAAAAAGGAGAUGACAGUUUUUUCUUUCUUGCUUCCCUUUGCCUCAAUGCGCGCAUUUGAUUUUUUUAACAAGCAGUGUCGUAAGCAGGACUUUCUUUCUGGUCAAGAGUUAAAAGAGCAUUCUUCAUGCUCCUUCUUGAUGAUGCUGGAUUUACUUUUAGUAGAUGGGAUACAAGUGAAGAGCAAGGGAUACUCUUAUCAAUGCUAGAGGAAAUAAAUGUAUAUUUUGCCCUCAUAUUGUUGUGUGCUGCGGAAUAUAGCUGUCAAGAAGACAUGGAAAGUCUAAUUUUCACCUAUACUGCACUCAUAACUUCAAAGUGCACCAGCACUUAAAUGAGAUAUAUGUUACUUCUGAUAGAUAUCACUGAGGGGCAUUUGAUUGCAGGAUUGUGGCUGCAAGAACUGACCAUUUUAGGAUUAAUAGUGGCAGAAGCAUCUUGCAUUCAAGUUUAACAUGUUUGAGGGAUAUUAAUUGCCACAUGUUGAGCUGUGGGAUACUUGGUUGGAGCCUCUAAUUGGUUAUGUUUUUAACAAGUCAUAGUGCCCACUCUGUUCCAAGGACUAAAGGGUGGUUGAUAAGAAAAUAAUCAUCCUAUUUCGAGUUCAGCUUGAUUUUGUUUGGAUCAUAUUCAUGGGCUGAAGAAGCAUGUUUGCUUCCGUUUUCUGUUUGGCUGUCAUUUUGCUUUGCUAUACUAUUAGAAGAAUUUGUUCUGCUCUUCUUGGUCCACCAUUCUUUGCAUAAUCCUAACAUUGGCUCCAUAUACCAAAAAGUUCCAGUAUCCUCUCAAGCCAUGUUGCUAGUGAUGCUAGAUGGUUUGAUCUAUCUUACUGGAUCCAUUAUUGUGUCAAGUACAUUAUUAAAAACACAAAACUUUGUCUUUUUCUUGCAUGUUGACUCUUCAAUUUCGUUGUUUUAUAUUUUUCAGAGGGAAACCACAGGUAAGGAGAAUUAAUUUGAUGACUGACAUUACCAAAAUAAGCUAUUUUUGGAAGAACCAAUUUCCGCGUACAGAACUUAUGUUGAUAAUAUUGAGAUACUAAAGUAGUGGCCUUAAUUGACAAAAUUGGACAAUUCUAUGGAAAUUGAUUCAGAAGCAUAAAGUUUGUGAUUGUGUUUCUUGUUCUUAUAUACUUUUUGACUGUCAGUUUCUUAGUGAUUGUUCUAUAAGAUAGAAGUUAGGUUAUCUUCAUGUUAAUAGAACUUGUUUUUUGUGAUUCAGGUCCUGAAGUUGAUCGUUUGGCUGCCAUGGCUGGAAAAUAUAAAGUGUAUUUAGUGAUGGGUGUGAUUGAGAGAGAGGGAUACACACUCUACUGUACAGUACUGUUUUUUGACUCUCAAGGUCGUUACCUUGGAAAGCACCGUAAAGUCAUGCCAACAGCUUUGGAAAGAGUAAUCUGGGGAUUUGGAGAUGGAUCUACAAUUCCAGUUUUUGAGACACCAAUUGGAAAAAUAGGUGCUGCAAUAUGUUGGGAAAAUAAAAUGCCACUACUAAGGAUGGCAAUGUAUGCUAAAGGUAAUUUGCCUUUCAAUCUUAGUAUAAACAGAAAAUAGUAGAUUUUAUCCUUUCUGGCACUUUGCAUGUCUGUCCUUACAGUGCAGUCAGGAUUUCUUGUCUAACUUUUUGUGGUUUAGGAUCAUCCUUUCGGCAAUAUAACGUAAAAAACUGAAUGUCAUGUUUCGACAUCUUCCAGGCUGAGCGUGUUAUUCUAUUGUACAUUUAUUUCUUUAAAAUUAUACUUUUCUCUUUCUUUCUUUUUCUUAUUAAAAUGAGAACUUGGUUCAAAUUACAUCCAUCUUCCAAUCUGUUUCAAGUAAUUUUCCAGUUAGCAUAUUGAGAGAGAGGGAGAGAGAGGGAGAGGUGUUAAAUGAGCUUGUGCAGAUGCGGCAGUUGAAGGAUUUCAUUUGUCUAGCUUUUUGUGUACAUGAGCAUGGCAUGUUGUGCUUUUUCAAGUAAUUUUCCAGAUGCAUGCAUUGUACAAAAUCCUCUUUUGGAGUCCACUUGGACUCUUGUCAUUUCUUAUCUAAAAGUUGGUCCUGAUAUUCUCUGGACUUGUAAGGUGGGUUGAAUAAGCCCUAUUAUCAUAUGGGUCAAUUAAAUGUCAUUUCGCUACUACUGUUGUUGGUGUACACCGCAACUUUUACUUCUGGACUUCCAUAGUUGAGAUGAUAGUCAUUGACUGUUAAUUUCUACUGCUCUUUCGCGAAUUUGAAUCUAAUCAUUUCUCUGUUUGCAUUUGAAAUUCUUAGAUUGUUUCUUGUACUAGAUGUUCCAAAUGUUUGUUUAGUGUCAUCUGCUAUCUCUAGUAACAUCAGGUUCACUAUUAAAUCCACGAUAUUGGAAUAAUGGAAUAUUUUACAUCUGAUCACAACCACUGGAAAUUUGUGAUGCUAUGUACAUUUUUUGUGAAAGAUAAUUGACUACAGCUUAAUCUGUCAAAUUUCUACUGUAAUCACUAAUGUUUUCUUUUGUGGGAUUGGUUCAAGUUCUACCCCUGCUUAAUCAACACAUUUCCGUUGGAUUGUUGAUGCGAUUGCUGAUGUUCUUCCAUUGCUUAUAGGCAUUGAAAUAUAUUGUGCACCUACUGCUGAUUCGAGAGAUGUAUGGCAAGCAUCAAUGACUCAUAUUGCUCUUGAGGGUGGAUGUUUUGUUUUAUCUGCCAACCAGUUCUGCCGAAGGAAAGAUUACCCACCUCCGCCUGAAUAUCUCUUUUUAGGCACUGAAGAAGAUCCUGACUCUGUUGUUUGUGCUGGUGGAAGUGUUAUAAUUUCACCAUCAGGGACUGUGCUUGCUGGACCAAACUAUGAAGGGGAAGCACUCAUCUCUGCAGAUCUGGGUAUGUUAUGGUUUGUUGAACUUCUAACCGAAUGCAAAAGCUCUAUUUUAUGUGGGGUAAAAAUGAAUAUGAAUUUCUUACCACCUUGUGUCCUUUUUAGGUUUCAUUUGUUUUCCCUGUAUGUGAACUCAAACAAGUAACCUUCAUACUAUGUGAAGUGACAUUUGCUUUCUUAUAUACUUUUUCAGUGGCUGAAUUUCCCUUUCUCUACAACUUUAGGACCGCUUCCCAUUGUGAAAUAAAUGUUUGUAUCUGACAAAAGGUUUAAUGUUCCCCUUCCUCAAAGCUUGUAUUACUAGUGGUGAAAUGCUACCUGUUAUGCAGAAGUCUUCCGUUCUCUUAGCCAUGUAAAUAACAUUCUCUUCUUGCAGUUAUACUACAAAGCUUUAGUUUGGAUUAGUUUGCAGUUAUUCUCCUCUGAUUCAUACAUCAUAAAGUAGUUUGGAUUAUUUUGGUGAAGCGCUCAGCUCAUUUAACGCACAUUCUCUUCUUGCAGUUAUACUACAAAGCUUUAGUGUGACUACAAAAUCUUGAUGUAGUGGCUUUCUCUUCUAAUCUUCUUGUUUUUUACUUGGAGCAUAUUAAUCUCACCUUUUCUUUGGUUACACAAUUCGUAGAUCUCGGAGCAAUAGCGCGGGCAAAGUUUGAUUUCGAUGUAGUUGGGCAUUAUUCAAGGCCUGAAGUGCUUAGCCUAGUCGUUAGAGACCAUCCUACAAGACCAGUAACUUUCACUUCAGAAUCGGAAAAAGGGGAAGGCACACAGAAGUAGCGAUGGUUUUAUUGCAGAUUAACUACUUGUUUACCUCUUGAUUUGGUGGCAACUUCACUGCUUAUCUGAAGUGGUCCCUGGUAAAUAUAUCCGUCUGCAUCCCCCUGAUGUUUGAUGGUUUGGCUUAUUUUUGUCCAUCUAUCGAAGAGCGACAAUAACAUUAAAUUCUGGUUAACCAAAAAUCAUGUUAGUAUCCCUGUCAACUAAUCACUGUCAGGUUACAGUAAUGCUGCUUGAGUUCGACCUGAUUCUUAGUGGUACAGGGGACUACUAUCCUGUAUACUUUAUUUUUGGCAAAUCAGUGACUCAUAUUAUAGUGGUCCAAAGAUUUUUGCAGUCUCCCUCCUCCCCCAUUUCUCCCCCACACCCCGUCUCUUUCAUAGACAGACAACUUCAACAUGAUAGAUGCUGCCUCUUUUCUACUGAGAGCACAACUAGAUAUAGUCUUGAUUCUCUUGGGGCCAGGAUCAGUAUACUACAGAUCCUAAAUGCCCUGCAGAAAGCUGCAGAAGAAACCUGUCAAGGAAUUAUGAUUCUAUCCAAGGUUUGAAAUGGGGCAAAAACUUGGGUAGACCAUGGUGCCCCAAAUUUUGCCCGGUCUACCCAAGUGUUGGCCUUGAAAUAAAAUAAGACUGUUCUGUGUACGAGCAACUAAAAAUAACUCUAGUAUCAGCUACCUGGGUGAUAGUAAUGGCCUUAUGAACAGUUUAAAAUAACUCUAGUAUCAGCCAAAAAUAUGACUGUUCUGUUGGCCUUGCAGUGAUAGUAAUGGCCCUAUGAACAGUUUGUAAUUGUUCAGAAAGACUACCUUUAGCCCCUAUCCAAAUUAUAUCAUCUCUUGCCCAAAGAAAGAUAAAAAUGAAUUGAAGAAAAAUGGGACACAGAUAAAUUGUGAAACAAGUGAUUUGAAGGUCAACUGAUUAAUGUUCUUUAACUGUUAAACUACUGGGUUUUGGGGACAAAUGUACCUUGAACUAUGUGAGAAUAGGGCAUUGUCAACAUUCCCUGGCCAAAACAUUGAAAGUCUAAAGAUAGAGGUGGCAACCACCUAAAAUAAUAAGAACCACACAUGCCUAUUAUCACAAUGCAAUCGAUGGUUCUGUGUAUGAAUCUUGAAUGUCUCACAAACCCCAAUUUCAAACUAUAGCUGGCAAUUAUAUGAGUGCAUGUGGUCUAAAUAGUCCAAAACAAGUUUUAUAAUUGCGAGGGAAUUAUUGAGACAUGAUCCCUACUUUAUUUCUACUGUGUCAGACAGAACAUAGUCAAGACGCUUUUCCUGAUGUAAUCCAUGCUGGAUUGUACGAAUGGAUUAACAAUUUGAUGCUAUGAUAGAUUCAAUAAUGUGGGGGCAAGAAGACGACUCUUGUGCUUUGUACAUUGUUUUUCCAGGCUCAGAUUCAGCAUAACCAUCCCACAUUGCAUUCCAUUACGUAUACAUCAUGUCUGAUCAAAUUGUAAAUUGUAUUGGGUGCAUUCUCUGAGCUAAGUGACAUAAUUUGACUCUUAACAACCAAUGUUCCAUGUACCCAAAUGCAAUGAGCAACAAAAAAAAGUUUGAUGUAUAUAUAAGCAUUAUCACAUGGAUUAAUCUUUCCCAUACUGACAGUGUAUACACUGUCAUGGAUCUAACGGUGUUAGUGUUUGCACCGUCAGUGUAUACAAGAUUUACUCCAUAUCAUAUUUCAAGCACCGUACAGAGUCUUAGAGGGCAUCUUAUGAUUCUUGAUAAGCAUGGUGCACAUGGGUGGAGCAUAUACAAUCCAAGAAUGGGUUUUCUAGUAAUGAUUAAUUAGAAGAAAUACGUACGGGUUUAGUGUUAAGCAUGUGAUUGGUGGCAACUCCUUAUUAGAAAAAGACUAAAAUCAUGUUUCGAAGUUUGGAGAGUGUAAUGCAUAUUUCUGCUCAUUAGGUGUAUUGUGAAAUGCUGAAACAACGUCAUUUCUUCAACCUCACAAGCUAGUGCAGAUUGAUAACUCAAAACAAAACAUGGGAAUGGAGUGACUAAGGGAAGACAUUCCAAGCUGUAACUUCAGCAUCUUUAUUGCCAUUGACAAAGAAAAAAGUAUUGUACACUUUUUUUAUCUUACACAACCUGCAGAUCACAAAAUUCUUUGUUUACCAUUCAAGUUCCCUCACUUUUUAAACAACUCAUUGAGGCAAAUGCAGCCAUCAUUAGGAACAUUUGCCCAUCUCUAUGAAGUACGUGUAGAAAAUAUGCACUAUGCAAUAAAAGUAAACCACAACAUAACGAAGCCAUUUUCUGAUACUGUUGAAAUCAGAUCUUUAGCUUUGCUUUCAAAGUGCUCGUUGCAAUACU
RNAcentral lists this long non-coding RNA (36005 nucleotides) under Coffea arabica (coffee). RNAcentral's name for it is "long non-coding RNA (CARA_LNC000704)". Lineage: Eukaryota; Viridiplantae; Streptophyta; Magnoliopsida; Gentianales; Rubiaceae. The record is from RNAcentral.